Lolium perenne is the source of this 1908-nucleotide long non-coding RNA. RefSeq lists it as uncharacterized. The record is from RefSeq and is a predicted model, not a curated record. NCBI's taxonomy places the organism in Eukaryota, Viridiplantae, Streptophyta, Magnoliopsida, Poales, Poaceae.
UCGCGUUCGUGUGGUUCGCACCACCGUACCAGCUUGUGGUAAUUUUCUUCUGUUUUUUACUUCGACGGUUUGGGAGCUAGCCCACUACGCAUCCGUACCUCAACUUUUUCCUCUUCGCUUUCCAAUCUAGAUCGGGCGGACGAGCGGUUUGAGAUUGGAACUGAGGUGCGACGGCGGCGAGCAGGUUCGGAUUUGGUACUCGGGAGCCAGGCGAGCAGCGGGUGGGUUCUGCGCUCUUGCUGGAGUCGGCGACGUCGUAGUCGGCCUGCCGAUUCGCCGGCGUCGUGGCGGCCGGCCGAAUCGCGGGCGUCGUGGCGGCCGGCCGAAUCGCGGGCGUCGUGGUCGGAUGGCCAAAUCGGCGGCGUGGUGAGCAAGUGGGUCGUAGCUGCGGGCGGUAUUGCCGUAUUGGCACUGCCUCCAUCUUCUCCUUUCUCUACUGCAAGUGCUGCGCGGCCUUCCGUCGGCCGUUGUCUGCGAAACUCGUGGGGAUUUUUCAAGCAUUGGUCGCUAGUGAUGAUUCAGAUUAUUUUGACUUGCUAAUCAGGCAUCGAGGUACUACUGCAUUGGUAAUCUUUUUACAUGUUCAUAUUUCUUUCUUCGCCAAUUGCUUUUGAAGGCAUUACCCCCUUUCAUAAGCUGUAGAGUGGGCCACAAAAAACUCUAAUUGUUAACAUAAGUAAAAGUAGCAAAGUGUCUUGCUUGUCUAAUGAAAAAUAUUAGCGGAAGACAUCUAUACAUUGUUGCUAUAAAUUUACCUAUGGAGUUCAGUUGGAUCAUUUUUCUUUUUCUUACAGGGACAUUAGCCAGUAUUUAAAUUAAGCAAUCCAACAUUUUUUCAAUUACACAUAGACCAUUUAAGAUCGUAUGUAUGUUUAUCUACCCGUUGGAAGCACCCGGUCAUAUUAAUUUUACAUCUUCUCUGAUUGUAGUAAAUAUACCUCUCUGAAUCUCCAUGCAUCACUCAGCUGUAAUAAUUUUUUAAGCAUAGUUCAACUGUUGAUUGUCAGUAUCUAGUUUCAAAAGGUCACAGAAAUACUUCUUACAUACAUGAAACUGGUAUAUAUACUGACAAGCACCAAUGAUGCCACUAAUGUAGCUCGAGCUGUCGUGGUCUUUAGAAAUGGAUAUAUGUGAAAAUAAAGAAGUAUGUCUGUCACUACAUCCUUCUACUGUUGUCCUUUUUCUGCAAACUUCCAGGUGGUCAUAUCAGUAGCCAAAAUGUGCCCCUUUCUGCAGCGUGCCGCCGAAUCAAUGUGGAUAGUGUACCUUAAAAUUCUUUAAUUUUAGAUAUAUUUAUGUUGCAGUCGUGGUAAAGAUGCUUCUGUUACCUAUUAACUAACUAAGUAAAGGGGACGGAAAGGAUUGUAUCAUAUGGUCUUGAAAAUAAAUGAUUUGUUUGUAGAACACUCCGGAUGAAAGAUCUAAAGGAUGUCAUGUAUAAGCAUGGACUUUCAAAGCAUGGAAAAAGCAGGUUUGUUCACUGAUAUUUUGUAUACCUACGUUUCACACAAAUAAGUUCUAGGUGCUGAUUUACUUCACAUCCAUUGCCCAUAUGCGUCAGUCUAUCUUUAUUGUGGGAAAGCACACAAUUGAUCGAAUUUUUUAUGGCCUCCAUAUCAAUGACAUAAAAAAUUCGGAAACUAAUGAACCUCCAUGUCAAUUCGGAAUCGGUGGCAAUGGCGGCGUGGCGUGCUUCAUUCUGUUGAAGGGGAUUGUACGAAUGGCUGGAUGGUGGCGGCAACUGAUGACUCCGGUGGCCUCAGCCUCAGAUUGGAUGCCAUAAAUUUAGUUAUCAGUGUAUAUGUAGCAGCUCAGUCAUCACAGUUUUAUCCUUUGUAAAUCUAUGAUUGAAUUACAUGUUGUGAAUUUUGUGCUCCAUAUUAAACAAGGAUUUUAUUUCUGAAAACA